GCGAGAAGUGGCUUCGGCCGCGAGUACAGCGGCGAACGGGUGAGUAACACGUGGAUAACCUGUCUGAGAGUGGGGGAUAACUCGGGGAAACCUGAGCUAAUACCGCAUUCGCUUUCCGGAUCGCGGUCCGGAUCGGAAAGGUGGCCUCUUCUUGAAAGCUACCGCUCACAGAGGGGUCCGCGUCUGAUUAGCUAGUUGGUGAGGUAAUGGCUCACCAAGGCGACGAUCAGUAGCCGGCCUGAGAGGGUGAUCGGCCACACUGGAACUGAGACACGGUCCAGACUCCUACGGGAGGCAGCAGUGGGGAAUAUUGCGCAAUGGGGGAAACCCUGACGCAGCAACGCCGCGUGGAGGAUGAAGGCUCUCGGGUCGUAAACUCCUGUCAGGUGGGAAGAAAAACCGUACGUUAAUAGCGUGCGGCGUUGACGGUACCACCAGAGGAAGCCCCGGCUAACUCCGUGCCAGCAGCCGCGGUAAUACGGAGGGGGCGAACGUUAUUCGGAAUUAUUGGGCGUAAAGGGCGCGUAGGCGGCUUGGCAAGUCAAAGGUGAAAUCCCUCGGCCCAACCGAGGAACUGCCUUUGAAACUGCUUGGCUUGAGGCCGGGAGAGGGUAGCGGAAUUCCCAGUGUAGCGGUGAAAUGCGUAGAUAUUGGGAGGAACACCAGUGGCGAAGGCGGCUGCCUGGACCGGUUCUGACGCUGAUGCGCGAAAGCGUGGGGAGCAAACAGGAUUAGAUACCCUGGUAGUCCACGCUGUAAACGAUGGGUACUCGGUGUCGCGGGUAUCGACCCCUGCGGUGCCUUAGCUAACGCGUUAAGUACCCCGCCUGGGGAG
Molecule: ribosomal RNA, 835 nt
Filed under: uncultured bacterium
Lineage: Bacteria
Description: bacterial SSU rRNA
Rfam family: Bacterial small subunit ribosomal RNA
Source: RNAcentral